GCGGCUUAUAGUCCGGAAAUUACGGUACGUUCUUUCCAAUACAAAAGUGUAGUGUAUUGUUUCCAAACUGCGUUACCCCACUCCAGCCAGCAGAUGGCGAUGAUCGUCUUUCAGGUGAUGCUUCUUCCGUGACGUAUCAUGGACUGGACGGGACGCUUCUUCAGGAACAACCAGGCACAAACUCUUUCAACCACCUCUGUAGCUUGCUAGCCAACAUAAAAGUGAAAGAUUGACGCUUUAGACCAUCUUAAUGUACAUGAUCUAAUCUCAGUGUUUUAAACACAGUUCUGUUGACGUAUUAACUGGUUAACUGUAACCGAAUUUGCAAACUUGUUAAAGAUUGAUGCUGAGCCUAGCACUAGGCUAGUCGCUAAUGCUAACUAGCUAGCUAACAUCCCUGACCAUGAGUUCAUUAAAGUACUCAUCCCUGCUAUAGAAGAGGAGGUCUGCUGUUUGGAGAAAGAAGCUCUGGCGCUGAACAUUGAAGAAGAGGAGGAUGUUACAGUGAAAGAGAAAGAACCUUUUAGAAUGAAAAAGGAGGAAGAGGAGACUGUUAUAGUGAAGGAAGAAGAUGCUGUUAUAGUGAAAGAACAUUUCAGAAUGAAAAAGGAGGAAGAGGAGGCUGUUAUAGUGAUAGAAGAGAAAGAACCGUUUAGAGAGGAAGAGGAUGCUAUCUCAAUAAAGGUGAAGGAGGAAGACGUUUUGGGAGUGAAAGAGGAGACAGAAUAUCAGAUUAACACCAGAGAGAGACAUGACUAUGGUGGAUCCUCUGGGGAGCUUCAACAACAUCCUGAUGCUGACGAGGCAGAGAAGAGUCUCUCCAGAUCAGAACACCAGAUGGUACAGCUUGGUCUGGACAAGCAAACAGCUUUCUCUUGCUUGGGGGCUGGGUUUCUGUAAACCACUUUAUGACAACAGUGACAUCAGCAUCCAUAUGAUGUGCGUCUGUGUCCCCUCUUUAUGGUUACCAGGACAACACUAGCCCUUCCUCCCAUCCCGGAGUCCCUGUAUCGUGCCUCUCCUGGUAGCACCUUACUGCUGGGGUAUGAAGAGGUUGUCUGUGCUGCUGGUGGACUGCAGGAAAACAACGGGGCUGAGUGGAACUGUGAGAGGAGGAGAAGAGAAGAAAGGAUCAGAUUUGACACACCAAAGUAAGUGCUGUAGUUUAUUUGGAACAAAUACAAUAGAUCUGCCCACUGGUAUCUG
RNAcentral lists this long non-coding RNA (1206 nucleotides) under Oncorhynchus kisutch (coho salmon). Its description in RNAcentral is "lncRNA (ENSOKIG00005044932.1)". The record is from RNAcentral. Lineage: Eukaryota; Metazoa; Chordata; Actinopteri; Salmoniformes; Salmonidae.